CGGAGGAUCCAAGCGUUAUCCGGAAUCAUUGGGUUUAAAGGGUCCGUAGGCGGGUUUAUAAGUCAGUGGUGAAAGCCCAUCGCUCAACGAUGGAACGGCCAUUGAUACUGUAGAUCUUGAAUUAUUAGGAAGUAACUAGAAUAUGUAGUGUAGCGGUGAAAUGCUUAGAGAUUACAUGGAAUACCAAUUGCGAAGGCAGGUUACUACUAAUGGAUUGACGCUGAUGGACGAAAGCGUGGGUAGCGAGCAGGAUUAGAUACCCUGGUAGUCCACGCCGUAAACGAUGGAUACUAGCUGUUCGGAGCAAUCUGAGUGGCUAAGCGAAAGUGAUAAGUAUCCCACCUGGGGAGUACGUUCGCAAGAAUG
Molecule: ribosomal RNA, 366 nt
Filed under: uncultured organism
Description: bacterial SSU rRNA
Rfam family: Bacterial small subunit ribosomal RNA
Source: RNAcentral